CAGGCAGGCAGGAAGACCAGCAGCAGCAGCCGCCAGCAGCCAAUACAUGGAAGCAACCUAAACAUCCAUCAACGGAUGAAUGAAUAAAGAAGAUGCGGUGUAUAUACACAAUGGAACACUUCUCAGCCAUUAGAAAGAGUGAAAUAAUGCCAUAUGCAGCAACAUGGAUGAACCUAGAGAUUAUCGUACUAAGUGAAGUAAGUCAGAAAGAGCCCCAUCCAUCAGAGAGGGAACAGAACUGAAAUGGAGUUAAUGAUUGAUCAUGCCUGUGUGAUGAACCCUCCAUAAAAUUCCAAAAGCAUGGGAGUCUGGAGAGCUUCCAGGUUGGUGAAUAUAUCUACACCGAGAGGUUGAUGCACCCCAACUCUACAGAGACAGAAGCUCCUGCACUAGGUGAACCUCCCAGACCUUGCCUAUGUAUUUCUUUAUCUGGCUGUCCAUCUGUAUCCUUUAUCAUAUCCUUUAAUAA
Globicephala melas (long-finned pilot whale) is the source of this 469-nucleotide long non-coding RNA. RefSeq lists it as uncharacterized. Lineage: Eukaryota; Metazoa; Chordata; Mammalia; Artiodactyla; Delphinidae. The record is from RefSeq and is a predicted model, not a curated record.